RNAcentral lists this long non-coding RNA (403 nucleotides) under Malus domestica (apple). RNAcentral describes it as "long non-coding RNA (MDOM_LNC019813)". Lineage: Eukaryota; Viridiplantae; Streptophyta; Magnoliopsida; Rosales; Rosaceae. The record is from RNAcentral.
GAAGACUCCAACUUGGCAGCAAGAUCAUCAAUGAUUUCCCUUUCCUCCUUGCUGCGGCAGAGAAGUUUAGAACAGGUUUUGGGUGGUAUUUAGGGUGUAGAAUGGAUGGGGAAUGGUAGUGGAGGGGUGGGGGGGGUGGGGGGGAAAGGUUUAGGGUUGAUGGGGGUACGGCUAGGGAUGAUUUUUGGGCAGAAUUUUGGGACUUUGGUGAUGGGAAGGUGCGGCAGAAUGCAAGGGCAGAUUUCUGGCGUGAAUGAUUGUGUAUGAGAGGUGGUGAUCUUGAUCUAGGGGUUAUAAUGAGUAUAUAUAGGCAUCCAAAACCCUAGGGUAAUUAGAUUAGGGUUUCUAGAAGCCCAAAUCCACCAGAAAUUAGGUUAAAACAAUCAGAUUUUUAGUGGGAAUA